RNAcentral lists this ribosomal RNA (253 nucleotides) under uncultured bacterium. Its description in RNAcentral is "partial 16S ribosomal RNA". It matches the Rfam family "Bacterial small subunit ribosomal RNA", at positions 524 to 776 of the family's 1533-position model. The record is from RNAcentral.
UACGUAGGGUGCAAGCGUUAAUCGGAAUUACUGGGCGUAAAGCGUGCGCAGGCGGUUUUGUAAGUCUGACGUGAAAGCCCCGGGCUCAACCUGGGAAUUGCGAUGAAGACUGCAAGGCUAGAAUCUGGCAGAGGGGGGUAGAAUUCCACGUGUAGCAGUGAAAUGCGUAGAGAUGUGGAGGAACACCGAUGGCGAAGGCAGCCCCCUGGGUCAAGAUUGACGCUCAUGCACGAAAGCGUGGGGAGCGAACAGG